This is a long non-coding RNA of Olea europaea var. sylvestris, 688 nucleotides long. RefSeq lists it as uncharacterized. The transcript is spliced from 2 exons. The record is from RefSeq and is a predicted model, not a curated record. NCBI's taxonomy places the organism in Eukaryota, Viridiplantae, Streptophyta, Magnoliopsida, Lamiales, Oleaceae.
UUUUUUUUUGAAUAAGUGACCCGUUAUUUGUGUCUUUCUCAUGUUUGUAUCUGUGCCUCGUGGUUGAAGGCCAUGGGCGGAAAUUCAUUGUUGAGUGUUGUGUCCACGCUUAGGAUAGACUAUUCUAGUUAGUUUUGAGUGGCAAGAAUGCUUGCAAUGGAGAUGGAUGAUCGGAGGCUUGUGAUUUUCUACUUCUUGCAAACUUUUGUUUGUUGUUUCUCAUCCUUGGUGCUUACUAACUACUAUUUUUCAUUAUUGGAUGACUUUUCAGUCUUAUCAGCAGCAACCUGAUGCUAGUUUUGGAUUAGCCCGGCCCCGAUGAGGGGCUUGGGCCGUGCCUGCACCCUGCCAGUAGACUGUCCUGUCUUAAAUCACGAGGCUGCUAGGGCAGCACGUUUACCCCAACUGGACAAGGUGCAGGCAUAAGCAACCGAGAUGUGCUGAAUGGACAUUAGCAUCAUCUUAAUCCAUCUUUGAUCCGUCCCCAAGUCUCGGUUAAAUAGAGCUUCAUUCGUGUUUGAUGGAGUUCAUUUGGUGUGUUAGGACAAUUGAUUGGAUGAGUUCCCUAGAACUCUUCCUUGCACCGUAUGAUGACGAAAUCAGAAUAGGAAGAGAAAUUAUCGGAGCAGUGAAGGUGACUUAAAGUUGGGCAAAGGAGCUACAUUACCAUUAUGCCCGAUGAUUGUUG